GAAAUCCGAAUUGCUUCUGGUUACCAUAGUGAUAUGAUUAUAUUCCAAAAACAGUGAAGGCAAUCGUAAGAGGAACUACACUUCACAAUUAGCAAAAGAUACAAAACAGAACCGCCUCCAAACAGAUCUAUAUCAGAUACCAAUAGAUUGUAUGCAGAUUACUGAUAAGAACACAAUCACAAGGUUCACCGACCAUGUCUUUAAACGAUAAAUAAGCAACAAAACACUCGUCUUAAUGCAUUAGAAGAUCCAACAUACUAAGAGAACAUUUCAACUUUUGUGCUUCUGCCCAACCAAAAUACCAGCAUCCACCACAGCCCAAUCACAUGAACAGGUUCGGCCUCGUCGCCUUGUAGGUGGUCUUCAGCUUCCUGGUUGGUGGCCUGACCUUUUGGUACACAAGGGGGAACUUGAUCUUGGAGUUGUGGAACUGCUUGGUGUUGUCUCUCUUGCAUAGCUUGAAGUUGACAGUCGCGGUCUUGAUGAUCUGAAUGCAGGGGGAUCUCACACGGUGGCGAGAGGCCAUUUCAGUGUACAUCUGCUCCACGGCACCAUUCAGUGUGGUGUCACGGUACUCCUUGUACAUGUUGUGGUAGCCGGUUCUGCUCUGGUAACGCAGCCAAAUGCCAUAGUUCUUGAUCGUGGUUGGGUUCUUCUCAAAGAUCUGACAAGAAAAAGAGUAAUUCAGUGCAAAAAUAACAAUCACAUGGCAUAAUUGAGUAAAAAAGAAUCAGUGGAAAAAUGAGGUUCCAAUUGGUUCCCAAACCAAGAAACUAUGGAUUAACACCAGUCGACCACAACAUACACGUUACACGAUUAGAAAAAGGAAAAUCACAAAUCAGAAAGUAUACGUGCCCGCAUAAUCAAGAAAUCUAGAGACAACUCAUAUGGGUCCCUUCAGAUGAAACAGGAUGUGGCAACAAGAACUCACAGAACUUUUGUGGUCCAAGUCCUUGUAGUGAAUACAAAUUAGAUUAUGCAAAACAGAGCCUUCGGACAUCAGAAUGAAGUAUCAGAAGUAAUUUACACAUAGAUAAUGUAAAUACAACUACAGAUACAUGUUUUCGCAAGAAAAUCACAUACAUCAUGAUCACAACAAGAUGGAAGGGGCAUCACUGCAUAUGCAAACACAACUAGAAUAAUUUUAUGUUGCAUUCCGACUAAUUAACGCCACAGAGAGUACAGAUAAAACUACCGAUGCAGUUGUAAGAAUGGAUCGAUAAAAGGAGCUAAUUAAGCCGCUCUCGGUUGGUGAUUGUAAUGUACAGGAAAGAACCAAAAGGUGGAACAUAAUCCAAGCUCAGGGCAAAACAUAAGAGGAGAAAGGCCCAAU
Molecule: long non-coding RNA, 1333 nt
Filed under: Triticum aestivum (bread wheat)
Lineage: Eukaryota; Viridiplantae; Streptophyta; Magnoliopsida; Poales; Poaceae
Description: long non-coding RNA (TAES_LNC000314)
Source: RNAcentral